GCCGAGGUGGCGGAAUGGCAGACGCAGCGGGCUUAAAACCCGCCGCCAGUAAAAUGGCGUGUGGGUUCGAAUCCCACCCUCGGUACCA
This 88-nucleotide transfer RNA is filed under the name Chloroflexota bacterium. RNAcentral describes it as "tRNA-Leu". It matches the Rfam family "tRNA". From Rfam's summary of the family: Transfer RNA (tRNA) molecules are approximately 80 nucleotides in length. Their secondary structure includes four short double-helical elements and three loops (D, anti-codon, and T loops). Further hydrogen bonds mediate the characteristic L-shaped molecular structure. tRNAs have two regions of fundamental functional importance: the anti-codon, which is responsible for specific mRNA codon recognition, and the 3' end, to which the tRNAs corresponding amino acid is attached (by aminoacyl-tRNA synthetases). tRNAs cope with the degeneracy of the genetic code in two manners: having more than one tRNA (with a specific anti-codon) for a particular amino acid; and 'wobble' base-pairing, i.e. permitting non-standard base-pairing at the 3rd anti-codon position. RNAcentral also lists the same sequence under 2 other names. The record is from RNAcentral. Lineage: Bacteria; Bacillati; Chloroflexota.